This 867-nucleotide long non-coding RNA is filed under the name Olea europaea subsp. europaea. Lineage: Eukaryota; Viridiplantae; Streptophyta; Magnoliopsida; Lamiales; Oleaceae. The record is from RNAcentral.
CUCGUGUCUAAAAUUGCAUAAUAAAUCUCAGAAGUCUCACUCAGCUCAUGUGGCAACUGCUACUUCUUCUGGGCAGACAAUUACAGUUUCUGCAGAUGAAUUUGCCAAAUUCACUCAGUACCAAGAAACAUUAAAGAAUUCAUCUCACUCUAUCUCUACCAUUGCUGAGACAGGUAAAUCUAAUACAUGCCUUUUCUCAUUUUCAUCAAAAUGGGUUAUUGAUUCUGGUACUACAGAUCAUAUAACAUGUAAUCAUAGUCUCUUUUCCGCUUUCAAUCACAUACAUCUCCUUCCACUGUUACUUUAGCUGAUGGCUCUACCUCUUCUAUUCUCAGCUCUGGCACUGUUAAGCUAACCCCAUUAAUUUCCUUAUCAUCUAUCUUAAGCCUACCAAAAUUUUCUUUCAAUUUAAUGUAUAUUAGCAAACUUACUCGAACCUUAUACCAUUCUGUCUCAUUUUUUCCCGAUUACUGUGUUUUUCAGGAUCUUAUGACGAAGAAGAUUAUUGGUAAAUGACAUGAAUCAGGCGGUCUCUAUAUUCUGGAUGCCCAGGUGCCCAAGUCUACUGCAUGUUCAAAUGUCUUAACUUCAUUUGAAGCCCAUUGUCGGUUGGGACAUCCAUCUUUACCUUUGUUGAAGAAACUAUGUCCUCAAUUUCAAAAUGUAUCGUCUUUAGAUUGUGAGUCGUGUCAAUUUGCGAAACAUCGUCGUUUAUCCUUAGUUCCUCAAGUCAAUAAAAUAGCUAAUUCUCCUUUUGUGUUAGUUCAUUCAGAUGUUUGGGGUCCGUAUCCUGUCAUGUCUCAAACUUGAUUUCGGUAUUUUGUUACAUUUGUUGAUGACUUUUCUCGUGUGACUUGGCUUUAUUUA